AAGCCCUUUCCUCCGUCCCGGAACAUAUAAGCUACCACAUGGCUUGAUACGUGGGGAGUUCAUAUUUGAACCUACCGCUGAGAUCAUUCUGUCCUUUUCACUCUCUUUGUCUAUACGUGUGUGUUUAUGUGCGUGCUUUGGGCUAAUUAGGGCAUCUCCAGUCCUACAUAUAAUGUACAAGUUGCAUAUGUCACAGGCUUGGCUCUCCCAUUUUCAGGUUUUAUUGCCAAGUUUGCUUAAUUGUUUGUUGCUUUUGCAGUUUGAUGCGGUUGGAUUGAGGUUUGGAUAUACCUUAAAAAAGAGAGCUUUCUUCAGUCCACUCAUGGGUGGCAGUAGGAUUCAAUUAGCUGCCGACUCAUUCAUCCAAAUGCUGAGUAAGAUUGGUACUCAGUAACUGAGUGAAUGAUGCGGGAGAAAAAUUGAUUCUUAAGCUUCCUGUACUUGGACUGAAGGGAGCUCCCUUUACUUUUAUCAUCUAUAUUAACCUGAGAUUCGGCCUUUUCAGUCUUCAUCAUCUAUAGUCUUGCAGGUAGAUAUGUUUUGCUUAUUCUGCACCUCAACAUACAGCAGGCAAAAGUAGAAGAUAAGUGUAGAUUACUAAUAGAGUACUAUAUUCUGCAUAUGAUGAUGUUUGACUCAUCAUGAGCUUGAGGGCUUGGUUUGUUUAAAGAAACGGAUUAUACAUCUUGACUAGAUUCUGUGACCAUGAUGUUUGUCUUUCUAACAUUAUUAUAUGGAGAAUUUAGUUGUUUAGGGAAGAGCUUCACCACUAAUCAACCAACCCAUUUUCGCAUGUCGAUUGUCUUUUUCUUUCAUUUGUAUGCUAGGCAUAUGUUGAAUGUUAAUUCAACUAUAACCCCAAUGGAUGUGAAACAAUGGAUUUAGGGUUUCGUCAAAGUGACUUUCUUGUCAUGCUGUAAACGCUCUACGACAAUGCGUUUCUUGGUUAUUGCCCACUUAUUGCAUCAAGUUCCCAGAUAUGUCUCUCAGAAGCUGAUGCAAUUACCAAAAUAUCCUCGUCAUCCAUCCAAAGUUCCAACUCUGCAAGUUCUCAAGAAGAUCGACCAAUGAGCCAAGGGAAUCAUUACAUCCAAAAAUUGGCAGAAUGUUUCAAAGGACGUACUUUCUUGGACCCAUGAAGAGAAAUCAUCCAGAGCUCCUGAACAGGAGGAUGCUCCCAGCCUCAAGGCUAUAAACAUAGUGAUAUUGUGGAAGGCGCAGUCAGUUAAUUUACCACUAAUCUGUGUCUUGACUAGGGGUUAACUGGUCUAAAUUUGCAUAGCUUUCCAGUAGAUCUUGAUCCUUUAUAACAUUAGACCAGCUCUCGUGUACUUGACUUUGUGUAUUAAUUUAAUAUCCAUUGUAUAACUAGGGCCAAUUCCUGAAGUUUGUACUUUUUU
Long non-coding RNA from Coffea arabica (coffee), 1400 nucleotides. RefSeq lists it as uncharacterized. NCBI's taxonomy places the organism in Eukaryota, Viridiplantae, Streptophyta, Magnoliopsida, Gentianales, Rubiaceae. The record is from RefSeq and is a predicted model, not a curated record.